UACGAAGGGGGCUAGCGUUGCUCGGAAUUACUGGGCGUAAAGGGCGCGUAGGCGGACAGUUUAGUCAGAGGUGAAAGCCCAGGGCUCAACCUUGGAAUUGCCUUUGGUACUGGCUGUCUUGAGUUCGGGAGAGGUGAGUGGAAUGCCGAGUGUAGAGGUGAAAUUCGUAGAUAUUCGGCGGAACACCAGUGGCGAAGGCGACUCACUGGCACGAUACUGACGCUGAGGCGCGAAAGCGUGGGGAGCAAACAGG
Molecule: ribosomal RNA, 253 nt
Filed under: uncultured bacterium
Lineage: Bacteria
Description: partial 16S ribosomal RNA
Rfam family: Bacterial small subunit ribosomal RNA
Source: RNAcentral